RNAcentral lists this ribosomal RNA (216 nucleotides) under Glomeromycotina sp. RNAcentral's name for it is "partial small subunit ribosomal RNA". The stretch from base 40 to 216 matches the Rfam family "Eukaryotic small subunit ribosomal RNA", at positions 686 to 864 of the family's 1831-position model. The record is from RNAcentral. Lineage: Eukaryota; Fungi; Glomeromycota.
GGGUCAGUAGGUUGGUCGUGCCACCGGUACGUACUGGUCUCACUGAUUCCUCCUUCCUGAAGAACCGUAAUGCCAUUAAUCUGGUGUUGCGGGGAAACAGGACUGUUACUUUGAAAAAGUUAGAGUGUUUAAAGCAAGCUAACGCUUGAAUACAUUAGCAUGGAAUAAUGAAAUAGGACGAUCGAUCCUAUUUUGUUGGUUUCUAGGAUUGACGUA